Molecule: non-coding RNA, 830 nt
Organism: Doryrhamphus excisus (bluestripe pipefish)
Lineage: Eukaryota; Metazoa; Chordata; Actinopteri; Syngnathiformes; Syngnathidae
Source: RefSeq, a predicted model, not a curated record
AUAUAGUCGUCAAGAAGGAGAAGCAGCGGGGUGGGUGGGCACUUUCCCCGCCCAAAAACACGCUGGGUGUGUCUCUCUCGGCGACACUCGCCACAGGUGCCCGGCCUUUGAUUCGCAUAUCUAAUCCUUGCAUUUCACGCUUCUGAUUAGCAAUCUUUUGGAUUAAAGUUAGUAAUUGCGUAAAAGUGCAUUUAAAUGCAAAAAUAAGCAUGUUUGACUUUGGUUGCAGCGCCCCCUAUUGGUGUAGAUUCUACACACAUUUACUGAUGUGUACAUGUGGGAGCUUGUUGCUUUAGGGGGGGUUCUUAUGGACGAGAUUCGUGGAGAAGCUGUGGAAGACAGACACGAUACAAUAACCUGCAGUCAGCUUCUAACAUCCUGGCGUAUUUCUCAGCAGGAUGGAGACAAGGGGUGCGGCUUAUGAUGUCAGAACAGGAAGUCGGCGGGUUCGUCAUUCGGUACCUAAAAAUGCAGAUAUUCAUCCCACAAAAGAGGAAAGUCGACGCCUUCCGCAGGUUGAGAAGUUGCAGGUGAGUUUCCAAUAGAUGAGGUUUGACAUGUAAAAAAAACAGAGAUGGCUCUUGAAUAAUCGAGUACGUUGUUAGCAUUCAUACAUUCAGACGAUGGCUAACGGUCACUCAGCGUCAUUUACAUCGGCCAACUUGGUUUACAGACUAUGGAAUGACAAAAAAAUGCAACCUGACUGAUGUAUAUUGUCUUUAGAACUUACCUCAUUGAACCUGGAAGACAAACAGCAGGGCUACUAUAUCCAACUGUUUUUUAAUCUCCUGACAUUUCCUUAUUGUUUAUCAUGUGUUCUGUAGCUCUAG